UACGUAGGGUCCAAGCGUUAUCCGGAAUCACUGGGCGUAAAGCGUGCGUAGGUGGCGUGUUAAGUGAGAUGUGAAACCGUGUGGCUCAACCAUACGUUGUGUCUCAUACUGGCAUGCUAGAGGACGGCAGAGGCAAGUGGAAUUACGAGUGUAGCAGUGAAAUGCGUAGAUAUUCGUAGGAACACCAAUGGCGAAGGCAGCUUGCUGGGCCACUCCUGACACUGAGGUACGAAAGCGUGGGGAGCGAACAGG
This 252-nucleotide ribosomal RNA is filed under the name uncultured bacterium. RNAcentral describes it as "partial 16S ribosomal RNA". It matches the Rfam family "Bacterial small subunit ribosomal RNA", at positions 524 to 776 of the family's 1533-position model. The record is from RNAcentral.